This 200-nucleotide ribosomal RNA is filed under the name uncultured bacterium. RNAcentral describes it as "partial 16S ribosomal RNA". It matches the Rfam family "Bacterial small subunit ribosomal RNA", at positions 8 to 213 of the family's 1533-position model. The record is from RNAcentral.
AGAGUUUGAUCCUGGCUCAGGACGAACGCUGGCGGCGUGCCUAAGACAUGCAAGUCGAGCGGUCCCUUUCGGGGGACAGCGGCGGACGGGUGAGUAACACGUGGAUAACCUGCCCCUGCCACCGGGAUAACAAGCCGAAAGGUUUGCUAAUACGGGAUAAGCUCACGCCCUCGCAUGGGGGUGAGAGAAAAGGCGCUGCA